Molecule: ribosomal RNA, 1173 nt
Filed under: Campylobacter coli
Lineage: Bacteria; Pseudomonadati; Campylobacterota; Epsilonproteobacteria; Campylobacterales; Campylobacteraceae
Description: partial 23S ribosomal RNA
Rfam family: Bacterial large subunit ribosomal RNA
Source: RNAcentral
AAAAAAGGUAAGCUACUAAGAGCGAAUGGUGGAUGCCUUGACUGGUAAAGGCGAUGAAGGACGUACUAGACUGCGAUAAGCUACGGGGAGCUGUCAAGAAGCUUUGAUCCGUAGAUUUCCGAAUGGGGCAACCCAAUGUAUAGAGAUAUACAUUACCUAUAUAGGAGCGAACGAGGGGAAUUGAAACAUCUUAGUACCCUCAGGAAAAGAAAUCAAUAGAGAUUGCGUCAGUAGCGGCGAGCGAAAGCGCAAGAGGGCAAACCCAGUGCUUGCACUGGGGGUUGUAGGACUGCAAUGUGCAAGAGGUGAGUUUAGCAGAACAUUCUGGAAAGUAUAGCCAUAGAGGGUGAUAGUCCCGUAUGCGAAAAACAAACCUUAGCUAGCAGUAUCCUGAGUAGGGCGGGACACGAGGAAUCCUGUCUGAAUCCGGGUCGACCACGAUCCAACCCUAAAUACUAAUACCAGAUCGAUAGUGCACAAGUACCGUGAGGGAAAGGUGAAAAGAACUGAGGUGAUCAGAGUGAAAUAGAACCUGAAACCAUUUGCUUACAAUCAUUCAGAGCCCUAUGUAGCAAUACAGGGUGAUGGACUGCCUUUUGCAUAAUGAGCCUGCGAGUUGUGGUGUCUGGCAAGGUUAAGCAAACGUGAAGCCGUAGCGAAAGCGAGUCUGAAUAGGGCGCUUAGUCAGAUGCUGCAGACCCGAAACGAAGUGAUCUAUCCAUGAGCAAGUUGAAGCUAGUGUAAGAACUAGUGGAGGACUGAACCCAUAGGCGUUGAAAAGCCCCGGGAUGACUUGUGGAUAGGGGUGAAAGGCCAAUCAAACUUCGUGAUAGCUGGUUCUCUCCGAAAUAUAUUUAGGUAUAGCGUUGUGUCGUAAUAUAAGGGGGUAGAGCACUGAAUGGGCUAGGGCAUACACCAAUGUACCAAACCCUAUCAAACUCCGAAUACCUUAUAUGUAAUCACAGCAGUCAGGCGGCGAGUGAUAAAAUCCGUCGUCAAGAGGGAAACAACCCAGACUACCAGCUAAGGUCCCUAAAUCUUACUUAAGUGGAAAACGAUGUGAAGUUACUUAAACAACCAGGAGGUUGGCUUAGAAGCAGCCAUCCUUUAAAGAAAGCGUAAUAGCUCACUGGUCUAGUGAUUUUGCGCGGAAAAUAUAACGGGGCUAAAGUA